AAAAACUUCCUCGUUCCUAGUGUGGCCAGUUGCUGUUAGGCAGGUAGGUACAUAGAAACACACAAAGGAAAAUGCAAAACCCAACUGACGGUGAUACAAUGAUAAAGGAGGACGACAGCAAGACCCCUUUUUCCGGUUCGCCAACCGCGGAUGACUCGGAAGUCGGGGGUGCUGCUCAGUCGGUGGAACUUGGGGGUGGUGCUGGUGGGUCCGGAGGCGGUGGUAGUAGUGGUGGUGGUGGUGUUGUGAGUAGUAGAGUUAAGGGACCUUGGUCGCCUGAUGAAGACGCGAUUUUGACUCAGCUGGUGAGUAAGUUUGGUGCUAGGAAUUGGAGCUUGAUCGCCCGGGGAAUUCCUGGUCGUUCUGGGAAAUCUUGUAGGCUUAGAUGGUGUAACCAGCUAGACCCUUGCCUCAAGCGAAAGCCUUUCACAGAUGAGGAGGAUCGUAUUAUAAUUUCAGCCCAUGCCAUCCAUGGAAACAAAUGGGCAGCAAUUGCAAGGCUUCUGUCUGGUAGAACAGAUAAUGCAAUCAAGAAUCACUGGAAUUCUACUCUAAGGCGCAGAUGUAUGGAUCACAGGAGGUUUAAACCAGGACCUAAUUAUGCAAUGGAAGAUGCAAGCCGUGAUAAAACUAAGGCAUCAUCAGAAGAAACCCUGUCAGUUGGUGAUGUCAAUUCUUUCAAGCUCUCUGAAGGAACAGAUGGCACAAUAGAUGACCAACCUAGCCAGCAAGAAGAUAAAGCUCAAAAACACAAGGUUCCUCAAACAAAUGAUUUUGAUUUUGCUGCUGAACCACAAGUACAUCAUGCCCUUCCUCGUCCUAAGGCACGUGUUAGUGCAUUUAGUGUUUAUAAUCCUCCUAGUGGCCCAAAAAUUGGCUCUGCGUAUUCAAGGACAAUUCCAACUCAGGGUCCUCUGGUUCAAUCUUCAAAAACAGACUUUGGAGUCUGCAAAUUCCUUGAAGAUAUUCAUGUUGAUCCUAUGGUUCCUUUGCGAUGUGGGUAUGGUUGUUGUGCAACACCAAGUAGGGGCCAUCUUCAGAGCUCAUUGUUGGGGCCCGAGUUUGUUGAAUAUGAGGAGCUUCCCGCUUUCUCAAGUCAAGAAUUAAUUUCAAUUGCUACAGAUUUGAACAAUAUUGCAUGGAUCAAGAGAAGCCUUGAGAAUAAUAGCAGUGUGAUAUCAGGCAAUAAUGCAAGCUUUAGAAUGUCUCAAGGGGCUUCUGUUGGCUCACAAAUGGGAAUUCCAGAACAGAACUUAAGAAACGGGCAUAUGCCCUAUGAGGAGGGAACAAACAAAUUGAUGGGCAUGAUGACAGAUACCUUAUCAGCAUCUGCCUGUGCAACCUUUUGCAAUGCAAGCUGAAGUGGAGAGCUUGACCUGAACUUAUAGAUGCUUCUUUUGUGAUUUGCUUUUUGGGGAAAUAGUAUAGAAUCAAAAUUACAAUAUUGUUACAAUUGUCUGCAUGGUUAUAGAAGUUUAAGAAUAUGAUUUUGUGAAGAGGCUCCUUAACUGUCAGCAAAGAGAUGAUGCCAUUUUGUUAACAUUCUGCUUCUAAAAAAUGUAUUAAGAAUUGAUUAGUUAAGGAUUGAAAUUUAUUUAUGCAAGUUAUUCCAGCGCUCACAUUUUAAGUCCUG
This 1633-nucleotide unclassified non-coding RNA is filed under the name Hevea brasiliensis (rubber tree). The record is from RNAcentral. Lineage: Eukaryota; Viridiplantae; Streptophyta; Magnoliopsida; Malpighiales; Euphorbiaceae.